Molecule: long non-coding RNA, 107 nt
Organism: Peromyscus leucopus (white-footed mouse)
Lineage: Eukaryota; Metazoa; Chordata; Mammalia; Rodentia; Cricetidae
Exons: 3
Source: RefSeq, a predicted model, not a curated record
UAUGGUGACCUCCCGGAGCGGGGCACCACGAGGUUGCCUAAGGAGGGGUGAACUGGCCCAGGUCGGAAACGGAGCAGGUCAAAACUCCCGCAUCAGCUGACUGUAGA